CAGGCUUAACACAUGCAAGUCGAGGGGCAGCAUGGUCUUAGCUUGCUAAGGCCGAUGGCGACCGGCGCACGGGUGAGUAACACGUAUCCAACCUGCCGUCUACUCUUGGACAGCCUUCUGAAAGGAAGAUUAAUACAAGAUGGCAUCAUGAGUCCGCAUGUUCACAUGAUUAAAGGUAUUCCGGUAGACGAUGGGGAUGCGUUCCAUUAGAUAGUAGGCGGGGUAACGGCCCACCUAGUCUUCGAUGGGUAGGGGUUCUGAGAGGAAGGUUCCCCACAUUGGAACUGAGACACGGUCCAAACUCCUACGGGAGGCAGCAGUGAGGAAUAUUGGUCAAUGGGCGAGAGCCUGAACCAGCCAAGUAGCGUGAAGGAUGACUGCCCUAUGGGUUGUAAACUUCUUUUAUAAAGGAAUAAAGUCGGGUAUGGAUACCCGUUUGCAUGUACUUUAUGAAUAAGGAUCGGCUAACUCCGUGCCAGCAGCCGCGGUAAUACGGAGGAUCCGAGCGUUAUCCGGAUUUAUUGGGUUUAAAGGGAGCGUAGAUGGAUGUUUAAGUCAGUUGUGAAAGUUUGCGGCUCAACCGUAAAAUUGCAGUUGAUACUGGAUAUCUUGAGUGCAGUUGAGGCAGGCGGAAUUCGUGGUGUAGCGGUGAAAUGCUUAGAUAUCACGAAGAACUCCGAUUGCGAAGGCAGCCUGCUAAGCUGCAACUGACAUUGAGGCUCGAAAGUGUGGGUAUCAAACAGGAUUAGAUACCCUGGUAGUCCACACGGUAAACGAUGAAUACUCGCUGUUUGCGAUAUACAGCAAGCGGCCAAGCGAAAGCGUUAAGUAUUCCACCUGGGGAGUACGCCGGCAACGGUGAAACUCAAAGGAAUUGACGGGGGCCCGCACAAGCGGAGGAACAUGUGGUUUAAUUCGAUGAUACGCGAGGAACCUUACCCGGGCUUAAAUUGCAGAUGAAUUACGGUGAAAGCCGUAAGCCGCAAGGCAUCUGUGAAGGUGCUGCAUGGUUGUCGUCAGCUCGUGCCGUGAGGUGUCGGCUUAAGUGCCAUAACGAGCGCAACCCUUGUUGUCAGUUACUAACAGGUCAUGCUGAGGACUCUGACAAGACUGCCAUCGUAAGAUGUGAGGAAGGUGGGGAUGACGUCAAAUCAGCACGGCCCUUACGUCCGGGGCUACACACGUGUUACAAUGGGGGGUACAGAGGGCCGCUACCACGCGAGUGGAUGCCAAUCCCCAAAACCUCUCUCAGUUCGGACUGGAGUCUGCAACCCGACUCCACGAAGCUGGAUUCGCUAGUAAUCGCGCAUCAGCCACGGCGCGGUGAAUACGUUCCCGGGCCUUGUACACACCGCCCGUCAAGCCAUGGGAGCCGGGGGUACCUGAAGUGCGUAACCGCGAGGAGCGCCCUAGGGUAAAACUGGUGACUGGGGCUAAGU
RNAcentral lists this ribosomal RNA (1439 nucleotides) under uncultured organism. RNAcentral's name for it is "16S ribosomal RNA". It matches the Rfam family "Bacterial small subunit ribosomal RNA". The record is from RNAcentral.